UCAAACUUGGUCAUUUAGAGGAAGUAAAAGUCGUAACAAGGUUUCCGUAGGUGAACCUGCGGAAGGAUCAUUAAAAAAUAGCGUUAGCUAUAUCCACCUUGUGUGCAAAACAAUGGAAAGAGAAAAUGGAAUUCAGAACACUUUUUCUUCGGGGAAAAUGUUACCAAAUUCUCUGUAAUUUUUAUAAAUACCAUCAAAAAUUAAUUUGAAAAAAAAAAAAUUUUUUUUUUUAAUAAAAAUUAUUAUACAACUUUCAACAACGGAUCUCUUGGCUCUCGCAUCGAUGAAGAACGCAGC
Molecule: unclassified non-coding RNA, 297 nt
Filed under: uncultured fungus
Lineage: Eukaryota; Fungi
Description: partial contains small subunit ribosomal RNA, internal transcribed spacer 1, and 5.8S ribosomal RNA
Rfam family: Eukaryotic small subunit ribosomal RNA (bases 1-73)
Source: RNAcentral